AGAUCCUGCUCCGUCGCCCCAGUGUUCAGACUACCUGUUCAGGACAAUGCUGUUGUACAGUAGUCUGCACAUUGGUUAGACUGGGCAAGGG
This 91-nucleotide microRNA precursor is filed under the name Meriones unguiculatus (Mongolian gerbil). RNAcentral's name for it is "miRNA (ENSMUGG00000016371.1)". The stretch from base 8 to 87 matches the Rfam family "mir-199 microRNA precursor family". Rfam says of the family: This family consists of the microRNA (miRNA) precursor mir-199 which appears to be specific to humans. Animal miRNAs are transcribed as ~70nt precursors and subsequently processed by the Dicer enzyme to give a ~22nt product. The record is from RNAcentral. Lineage: Eukaryota; Metazoa; Chordata; Mammalia; Rodentia; Muridae.